GUGGUUGGUAGGUGGGUGGGUUGUUUUUGAUAUUUGGUGUUGGUUGGCUCGAUAAUUGACCUAGUUUUUUCCUCAAGAAAAACUCAGCUAACUGACUUAUUUGUGCUUCUAACUUGACGAUGGAUUACUUUUGGGUCAUAAUCAUUUGUUGAAUUUGGCUAAACCUAUCAUCGACUAAAGGGGUUUGUUAAGGAGGUGGGUAUAAUGGCUGAUUAUGAUAUGAUAGCUAGGUAGGCUGACUAGACUGACCUCUAUUACAGAAAAAAUUUUGGUAUUGGGGCUUAUUUUGAAAGUUUUGCACAAAAGAAAUUUAGAUCUGAGCCUGAGUCUAUUGAGGUCUCCAAGAAAAAUUAGGGUAGUUCCUUCAAUCUUGAUUAUAUAUAUUUAAAAAUGGAUCAUUGACAGGCUUGGAAUAACCUUGAGUAGCUUGAACUUAUUCUUGGAUGAAAGGUAAAAACUGUAC
Molecule: long non-coding RNA, 463 nt
Filed under: Elaeis guineensis (African oil palm)
Lineage: Eukaryota; Viridiplantae; Streptophyta; Magnoliopsida; Arecales; Arecaceae
Description: long non-coding RNA (EGUI_LNC035444)
Source: RNAcentral